GGUUAAGCGACUAAGCGUACACGGUGGAUGCCCUGGCAGUCAGAGGCGAUGAAGGACGUGCUAAUCUGCGAAAAGCGUCGGUAAGGUGAUAUGAACCGUUACAGCCGGCGAUGUCCGAAUGGGGAAACCCAGUGCAAUUCGUUGCACUAUCGUUAACUGAAUACAUAGGUUAACGAGGCGAACCGGGGGAACUGAAACAUCUAAGUACCCCGAGGAAAAGAAAUCAACCGAGAUUCCCCCAGUAGCGGCGAGCGAACGGGGAGCAGCCCAGAGUCUGAAUCAGCUUGUGUGUUAGUGGAACGGUCUGGAAAGUCCGACGGUACAGGGUGAUAGUCCCGUACACCAAAAUGCACAGGCUGUGAACUCGAAGAGUAGGGCGGGACACGUGGUAUCCUGUCUGAAUAUGGGGGGACCAUCCUCCAAGGCUAAAUACUCCUGACUGACCGAUAGUGAACCAGUACCGUGAGGGAAAGGCGAAAAGAACCCCGGCGAGGGGAGUGAAAAAGAACCUGAAACCGUGUACGUACAAGCAGUGGGAGCACCUUCGGGUGUGACUGCGUACCUUUUGUAUAAUGGGUCAGCGACUUAUAUUCUGUAGCAAGGUUAACCGUAUAGGGGAGCCGCAGGGAAACCGAGUCUUAACUGGGCGUUAAGUUGCAGGGUAUAGACCCGAAACCCGGUGAUCUAGCCAUGGGCAGGUUGAAGGUUGGGUAACACUAACUGGAGGACCGAACCGACUAAUGUUGAAAAAUUAGCGGAUGACUUGUGGCUGGGGGUGAAAGGCCAAUCAAACCGGGAGAUAGCUGGUUCUCCCCGAAAGCUAUUUAGGUAGCGCCUCGUGAACUCAUCUUCGGGGGUAGAGCACUGUUUCGGCUAGGGGGUCAUCCCGACUUACCAACCCGAUGCAAACUACGAAUACCGAAGAAUGUUAUCACGGGAGACACACGGCGGGUGCUAACGUCCGUCGUGAAGAGGGAAACAACCCAGACCGCCAGCUAAGGUCCCAAAGUCAUGGUUAAGUGGGAAACGAUGUGGGAAGGCACAGACAGCCAGGAUGUUGGCUUAGAAGCAGCCAUCAUUUAAAGAAAGCGUAAUAGCUCACUGGUCGAGUCGGCCUGCGCGGAAGAUGUAACGGGGCUAAACCAUGCACCGAAGCUGCGGCAGCGACACUAUGUGUUGUUGGGUAGGGGAGCGUUCUGUAAGCCUGCGAAGGUGACCUGUGAGGGUUGCUGGAGGUAUCAGAAGUGCGAAUGCUGACAUAAGUAACGAUAAAGCGGGUGAAAAGCCCGCUCGCCGGAAGACCAAGGGUUCCUGUCCAACGUUAAUCGGGGCAGGGUGAGUCGACCCCUAAGGCGAGGCCGAAAGGCGUAGUCGAUGGGAAACAGGUUAAUAUUCCUGUACUUGGUGUUACUGCGAAGGGGGGACGGAGAAGGCUAUGUUAGCCGGGCGACGGUUGUCCCGGUUUAAGCAUGUAGGCUGGUUGUCCAGGCAAAUCCGGAUAAUCAAGGCUGAGGUGUGAUGACGAGGCACUACGGUGCUGAAGUAACAAAUGCCCUGCUUCCAGGAAAAGCCUCUAAGCAUCAGGUAACAUUAAAUCGUACCCCAAACCGACACAGGUGGUCAGGUAGAGAAUACCAAGGCGCUUGAGAGAACUCGGGUGAAGGAACUAGGCAAAAUGGUGCCGUAACUUCGGGAGAAGGCACGCUGGUGUGUAGGUGAAGUCCCUGCGGAUGGAGCUGAGACCAGUCGAAGAUACCAGCUGGCUGCAACUGUUUAUUAAAAACACAGCACUGUGCAAACACGAAAGUGGACGUAUACGGUGUGACGCCUGCCCGGUGCCGGAAGGUUAAUUGAUGGGGUUAUCCGUAAGGAGAAGCUCUUGAUCGAAGCCCCGGUAAACGGCGGCCGUAACUAUAACGGUCCUAAGGUAGCGAAAUUCCUUGUCGGGUAAGUUCCGACCUGCACGAAUGGCGUAAUGAUGGCCAGGCUGUCUCCACCCGAGACUCAGUGAAAUUGAACUCGCUGUGAAGAUGCAGUGUACCCGCGGCAAGACGGAAAGACCCCGUGAACCUUUACUAUAGCUUGACACUGAACAUUGAGCCUUGAUGUGUAGGAUAGGUGGGAGGCUUUGAAGCGUGGACGCCAGUCUGCGUGGAGCCAACCUUGAAAUACCACCCUUUAAUGUUUGAUGUUCUAACGUUGGCCCCUGACCGGGGUUGCGGACAGUGUCUGGUGGGUAGUUUGACUGGGGCGGUCUCCUCCCAAAGCGUAACGGAGGAGCACGAAGGUUAGCUAAUCCUGGUCGGACAUCAGGAGGUUAGUGCAAUGGCAUAAGCUAGCUUGACUGCGAGCGUGACGGCGCGAGCAGGUGCGAAAGCAGGUCAUAGUGAUCCGGUGGUUCUGAAUGGAAGGGCCAUCGCUCAACGGAUAAAAGGUACUCCGGGGAUAACAGGCUGAUACCGCCCAAGAGUUCAUAUCGACGGCGGUGUUUGGCACCUCGAUGUCGGCUCAUCACAUCCUGGGGCUGAAGUAGGUCCCAAGGGUAUGGCUGUUCGCCAUUUAAAGUGGUACGCGAGCUGGGUUUAGAACGUCGUGAGACAGUUCGGUCCCUAUCUGCCGUGGGCGCUGGAGAAUUGAGGGGGGCUGCUCCUAGUACGAGAGGACCGGAGUGGACGCAUCACUGGUGUUCGGGUUGUCAUGCCAAUGGCACUGCCCGGUAGCUAAAUGCGGAAGAGAUAAGUGCUGAAAGCAUCUAAGCACGAAACUUGCCCCGAGAUGAGUUCUCCCUGAGACUUUAAGUCUCCUGAAGGAACGUUAAAGACGAUGACGUUGAUAGGCCGGGUGUGUAAGCGCAGCGAUGCGUUGAGCUAACCGGUACUAAUGAACCGUGAGGCUUAACCUU
RNAcentral lists this ribosomal RNA (2902 nucleotides) under Klebsiella pneumoniae. RNAcentral describes it as "23S ribosomal RNA". It matches the Rfam family "Bacterial large subunit ribosomal RNA". Lineage: Bacteria; Pseudomonadati; Pseudomonadota; Gammaproteobacteria; Enterobacterales; Enterobacteriaceae. The record is from RNAcentral.